This 1347-nucleotide long non-coding RNA is filed under the name Canis lupus familiaris (dog). RNAcentral describes it as "lncRNA (ENSCAFG00040016280.1)". Lineage: Eukaryota; Metazoa; Chordata; Mammalia; Carnivora; Canidae. The record is from RNAcentral.
AUGAAAGCCCCAGAAGAUCCCAAAUACCAUGGAAAGAAGACCACAAGAGCCCUAGAAGGGCCCAAGGAUGAUGGAAAGAAGACCACUCCAGCCAACACUACGAGAGCCCUUGGAGGACUAAAGAAUCCUAGGGAGAAGACCACCACCGUCAGCGGGAAGACCACCAGUACCGCAGAAGGGGCCCCAGACCAUGGAAGGAAGACCGCUGCAGCGAGUGGGAAGACCACGAGAGCCCUGGGAGGACUCAAGAAUCCUGGGGAGAAGACCACCACAGUCAUUGGGAAGACCACCAGUACCGCAGAAGGGCCCCCAGACCAUGGAAGGAAGACCGCUGCAGCGAGCAGGAAGACCACGAGAGCCCUGGGAGGACUCAAGAAUCCUGGGGAGAAGACCACCACCGUCAGCGGGAAGACCACCAGUACCGCAGAAGGGCCCCCAGACCAUGGAAGGAAGACCGCUGCAGCGAGUGGGAAGACCACGAGAGCCCUGGGAGGACUCAAGAAUCCUGGGGAGAAGACCACCACAGUCAUUGGGAAGACCACCAGUACCGCAGAAGGGCCCCCAGACCAUGGAAGGAAGACCGCUGCAGCGAGCGGGAAGACCACGAGAGCCCUGGGAGGACUCAAGAAUCCUGGGGAGAAGACCACCACCAUCAGCGGGAAGACCACCAGUACCGCAGAAGGGCCCCCAGACCAUGGAAGGAAGACCGCUGCAGCGAGUGGGAAGACCACGAGAGCCCUGGGAGGACUCAAGAAUCCUGGGGAGAAGACCACCACCGUCAGCGGGAAGACCACCAGUACCGCAGAAGGGCCCCCAGACCAUGGAAGGAAGACCGCUGCAGCGAGUGGGAAGACCACGAGAGCCCUGGGAGGACUCAAGAAUCCUGGGGAGAAGACCACCACAGUCAUUGGGAAGACCACCAGUACCGCAGAAGGGCCCCCAGACCAUGGAAGGAAGACCGCUGCAGCGAGCGGGAAGACCACGAGAGCCCUGGGAGGACUCAAGAAUCCUGGGGAGAAGACCACCAUCAGCGGGAAGACCACCAGUACCGCAGAAGGGCCCCAGACCAUGGAAGGAAGACCGCUGCAGCGAGUGGGAAGACCACGAGAGCCCUGGGAGGACUCAAGAAUCCUGGGAGAAGACCACCACAGUCAUUGGGAAGACCACCAGUACCGCAGAAGGGCCCCCAGACCAUGGAAGGAAGACCGCUGCAGCGAGUGGGAAGACCACGAGAGCCCUGGGGGGACUCAAGAAUCCUGGGGAGAAGACCACCACCGUCAGUGGGAAGACCACCAGUACCUCUCACAUGAAGCUGAGUUCCACCAUGUCAGAGAUCCCAGACAAUGA